Molecule: ribosomal RNA, 434 nt
Filed under: uncultured Lachnospiraceae bacterium
Lineage: Bacteria; Bacillati; Bacillota; Clostridia; Lachnospirales; Lachnospiraceae
Description: bacterial SSU rRNA
Rfam family: Bacterial small subunit ribosomal RNA
Source: RNAcentral
ACGGAAGGCAGCAGUGGGGAAUAUUGCACAAUGGGGGAAACCCUGAUGCAGCGACGCCGCGUGAGCGAAGAAGUAUUUCGGUAUGUAAAGCUCUAUCAGCAGGGAAGAAAAUGACGGUACCUGACUAAGAAGCCCCGGCUAACUACGUGCCAGCAGCCGCGGUAAUACGUAGGGGGCAAGCGUUAUCCGGAUUUACUGGGUGUAAAGGGAGCGUAGACGGCAAGGUAAGUCUGAAGUGAAAUCCCGGGGCUCAACCCCGGAACUGCAUUUGAAACUGUAGCCCUUGAGUAUCGGAGAGGCAAGCGGAAUUCCUAGUGUAGCGGUGAAAUGCGUAGAUAUUAGGAGGAACACCAGUGGCGAAGGCGGCUUGCUGGACGACAACUGACGCUGAGGCGCGAAAGCGUGGGGAGCAAACAGGAUUAGAUACCCUGGUA